GAAAUGCGAUAAGUAAUGUGAAUUGCAGAAUUCAGUGAAUCAUCGAAUCUUUGAACGCACAUUGCGCCCGCCAGCACUCUGGCGGGCAUGCCUGUUCGAGCGUCAUUUCAACCCUCAGAACCCCUUGCGGGAUCUGGCGUUGGGGAUUGGCAUCCAGCCAGCCCCGAAAUCUAGUGGCGGUCCCUCCGCGACCUCCCCUGUGCAGUAGCGAUACCUCGCAGCGGGACAGCGGUCUGACCACGCCGUAAAACCCCCAACUUCUCAAGGUUGCCCUCGAAUCAGGUAGGAAUACCCGCUGAACUUAAGC
This 307-nucleotide unclassified non-coding RNA is filed under the name plant metagenome. Its description in RNAcentral is "partial contains 5.8S ribosomal RNA, internal transcribed spacer 2, and large subunit ribosomal RNA". The stretch from base 1 to 105 matches the Rfam family "5.8S ribosomal RNA", at positions 50 to 154 of the family's 154-position model. The record is from RNAcentral.